Molecule: small nuclear RNA, 107 nt
Organism: Chiloscyllium plagiosum (whitespotted bambooshark)
Lineage: Eukaryota; Metazoa; Chordata; Chondrichthyes; Orectolobiformes; Hemiscylliidae
Source: RefSeq, a predicted model, not a curated record
GUGCUCACUUCGGCAGCGCAUAUACUAAAAUUAGAACCAUACAGAGAAGAUUAGCAUGGCCCCUGCAUAAGGAUGAUACGCAUAUUCAUGAAGUGUUCCAUAUUCUU